CACCGCCUGGGGAGUACGACCGCAAGGUUAAAACUCAAAUGAAUUGACGGGGACCCGCACGAGCAGUGGAGCAUGUGGUUUAAUUCGAAGAUACGCGAAGAACCUUACCAACACUUGACAUGUUCGUCGCGAACCCAAGAGAUUGGGUUUUUCAGUUUGGCUGGACGAAACACAGGUGCUGCAUGGCUGUCGUCAGCUCGUGUCGUGAGAUGUUGGGUUAAGUCCCGCAACGAGCGCAACCCUUACUUUUAGUUGCUACCAUUCAGUUGGGCACUCUAAAAGAACUGCCAGUGAUAAGCUGGAGGAAGGUGGGGAUGACGUCAAGUCCUCAUGGCCCUUACGUGUUGGGCUACACACGUGCUACAAUGGUAUUUACAGUGGGAUGCAAAGAGGCAACUCCAAGCAAACCCCAAAAAGAUACCUCAGUUCGGAUUGUACUCUGCAACUCGAGUACAUGAAGCUGGAAUUGCUAGUAAUCGCGGAUCAGCGCGCCGCGGUGAAUACGUUCCCGGGUCUUGUACACACCGCCCGUCACACCAUGGAAGUUGGUUACACCUUAAGGCAAAGCGUAAAAACUUUGACUACGGUACGAUCAGCGACUGGGGUGAAGUCGUAACAAGGUAGCCGUAGGGGAACCUGCGGCUGGAUCACCUCCUUUCUAAGGAAAUCGAAAAUGUAAUUUUCGAUUAAAAAAAACCGGUAAUGUGACCGUCCUCAUUUCUCUUCUUUUAAUGUCUCUGAGUAAGAAUGUGCAAGGGGCCGGUAGCUCAGGUGGUUAGAGCGCACCCCUGAUAAGGGUGAGGUCGGAAGUUCGAGUCUUCCUCGGCCCACCAAUAUUAUGGGGGAUUAGCUCAGCUGGGAGAGCGCCUGAUUUGCAUUCAGGAGGUCAGCGGUUCGAUCCCGCUAUCCUCCACCAACAUAUUGAGACAUUUAGCUUUUUUAAAUUGUGAAUAUUAUUAUUAUCAAUAUCUAUAUCCGAUUGUUUUCAGAUAUUUUUAUGAAAACAAUCAAACAAAAAUUUGAUUUUACACAGAAAGUUUUUUUCUG
Molecule: small RNA, 1047 nt
Filed under: uncultured Pelagibacterales bacterium
Lineage: Bacteria; Pseudomonadati; Pseudomonadota; Alphaproteobacteria; Candidatus Pelagibacterales
Description: bacterial SSU rRNA
Rfam family: Bacterial small subunit ribosomal RNA (bases 1-658)
Source: RNAcentral